UACGGGGGGGGCAAGCGUUGUUCGGAAUUACUGGGCGUAAAGGGCUCGUAGGCGGCCAACUAAGUCAAACGUGAAAUCCCUCGGCUUAACCGGGGAACUGCGUCUGAUACUGGAUGGCUUGAAUCCGGGAGAGGGAUGCGGAAUUCCAGGUGUAGCGGUGAAAUGCGUAGAUAUCUGGAGGAACACCGGUGGCGAAGGCGGCAUCCUGGACCGGCAUUGACGCUAAGGAGCGAAAGCCAGGGGAGCAAACGGG
Molecule: ribosomal RNA, 253 nt
Filed under: uncultured bacterium
Lineage: Bacteria
Description: partial 16S ribosomal RNA
Rfam family: Bacterial small subunit ribosomal RNA
Source: RNAcentral